RNAcentral lists this long non-coding RNA (2366 nucleotides) under Dasypus novemcinctus (nine-banded armadillo). RNAcentral's name for it is "lncRNA (ENSDNOG00000051045.1)". The record is from RNAcentral. Lineage: Eukaryota; Metazoa; Chordata; Mammalia; Cingulata; Dasypodidae.
AUGGCCAAACGCAACAACCCUGCAGCUGAGACCCUGCCCACUGCCCUGCUGGGUGCUCAGCCACCCCAGCGCCUCCGCAGGGCCCUGCAGGGAGGACUGGCUGGGGCAUGCGACUCUGGCUGUCCAGCUGAUGCCCGCAGGCAGUGCCCGGCUUCCAGCCCGCAGGACUGGCCAGCUGCUGACGCGCCCGAGCCAGGGGCAGGCUGCGGCUCACACGGGAGCUGGGCUGUGGAUGGGGUCUGGGCACGUGUGGAGAGGCUGCACUCCUGGUUUGGACCCAGCAGUGCUGUCACGGCGGGAUGCUGGGAAGGGUCAGGGGCCCAGGUCUGGAGCCCGGACAGUCACCGGUGCAGCAGCCCCACGGCCCUGGCAGGGAUGCCUUUAUUAGGCGAGGCGGGACAGGGGUGCCCGUCACCGCGUCCCCAUCUCAACCCGAGUCCUCAUUUCAGCCACACAAGCACAGGGCGAGCGAGGUCCUGCCUUCCGUCUCACAGGGCAAAACCUGGCUCACGCACGCAGUGGGUUCUGCAAAUCGUCCCUCUCCUCAGGGCUCCAUACCCGAUGCCCACUGGCCUGGCGACCACCCCAGCGGCCCCCAGUUGCCUUCAGCAGGGAGUGGCGCAUACCUGGGACGAGAGUGGACGGCCGUGUCCCCCGUGGUUGCAUGGGGACCCUGACAGCCUGCUUCCCCUCCUGCUGUGGGAACGUGCGGACACCGUUUGGUGUCCAUCUGUAGGUACUUGAAGCAAUGCUGCAAAACCAUCCUCCAGCGCAUACUGUUUGCAGGUGUGCAGAUGCACCCACCUGGUAAGUUACUGAAAUCAGGCUUGCUGGACCCGGGGUGUGCGUCUGUCAAGAUCUGUCAAGGUGCUUCUGUUGGGGUGAGUCCAGUUUCCACCCAUCUGUGUGCAUGUGUGCUCUUCACCCCCCAGUUUAUGGUGGAGACCCCUCAGCCACCUAUUCCUUUUUUUUUUUUAAGAUUUAUUUUAUAUUUCUACCCCCCAUUGCUUGUGCUCGUGGUGUCUGUGUAUUGUGCACUUGUCUUCCUCUUUUUAGAAGGCACCGGAAACCAGACCCGGGACCUCCCAUGUGGGAGGGAGGCACCUAACCGCUUGAGCUACCUCUGCUUCCUGCUUUGUUGUGUCUCUCAUUAAGGUUUUCAUCCUCAUGUCUCUUGUUGUGUCAUCUCGCUGCAUCAGCUCACUGUGCCAACCAGUCGCAUCAGCUCACUGUCUUGUAUUCUUUAGGAGGCGCUGGGGACUGAACCCAUGUGGUAGGCGGGAGCUCAAUCACUUGAGGCACAUCUGCUUCCUGCACCUGUUCCUUUGUGUUCUCUGACUUGGGGAGGGGCCCAGUGCUUCUGUGGGUCUAAGAGCUAGCACCCCUUCAUGCUACUCUGUGUGCACUUGCCCCUUUCAAAUGCAAAAACACUGUUCCAGUCUGCUGGUUGCUGGAAUCAGUAUACCAGAAACGGGUCAGCUCUAUACAAUGGGAUUUAUUAACUCACAAGCUUACAGUUCUGAGGCCACGAAAAUGUCCAAACCAAGGCAUCGUCAGGCAGUGCUUCCUCUACGGACUGGCUGCCGGCGCUCCUGGACUCCUCUGUCCAUGGCAGGGCACACAGCGGCACCUGCUGCUCUCUCCUUUCUCCUCUGGCUUUCAUUGCUUUCAGCUUCUGGCUUCUGUGGCUCUCGCUCUCUCUCUGUCUUCAUUCCAUUUAUAAAGGACUCCAGUAAGAGGGUAAAACCCACCCUCGGCCGUGCCCUGAAUGAAGUAGCCGCAUCAAAAGGCCCUUAACUGAAGUGCCCUAGUCAGGAGUUCCCACCCACAGUAGGUCCACCCACAGUAGGUCCACCCACAGUAGGUCCACACCCACAGGAACGGGCUAGCUUUAAGAACCUAAGUUUCUGGGGUCCAUUCAGCUUCAAACCAUCACAAAUGCUUUUUUUUUUUAACCUUUCUUUUUCUGUGAGUUGUGUCCUUGGCCCAUUUUCUCAGGCUGUUGUUCUUUUCAUAUUGAUAUGUGUUGAGUCAGCCUUUUGUCUAUAAUAUAAAUUACAAAUAUUUUUCCAAGUUUUUCAUUUGUCUUUUGACUUUCCCAAUGUCGAUUUUGCGUUACAAGAAUGUUUCAUUUUUACGUAGGAAAAUGUAUCCACCUAUAUUUAUGGCUUCUGGGUUUGGCUUCAAGUUUAGAAAAGCCUGCCCAACUCUGAGGUUAAAAAGAAUUCUCCAUUCAUUUCAUCCAGCACUUUCAUGGUUUGUCUUCCAAUCCAUAAACCCAGAUGUCCUUCUAUUUAUUUAACUCUUUAAUUUCUUUCAGCAAUGUUUUGUAGUUUUCAGUGUAUAAGUCUUUUGUCUUCCUGGUU